RNAcentral lists this ribosomal RNA (225 nucleotides) under Pachymenes olympicus. RNAcentral's name for it is "partial small subunit ribosomal RNA". The record is from RNAcentral. Lineage: Eukaryota; Metazoa; Arthropoda; Insecta; Hymenoptera; Vespidae.
AUAAAUCAUUAAAUUUAUAAAAUUUGGCGGUAUUUUAUUAAAUUAGAGGAACUUGUUUAGUAAUUGAUGAACCACGAUAAGAUAAACUUGUAUAUUUAUGUAUUGCUGUUUUUAGAUAUAUUUUAAUAAUAUUAUUAUAAUUUAAAAAUAAAAUAAUUCAAGUCAAAAUAUAGUAUUAAUAAGAAAUGAGUUACAAUAUUUUAAUGAAAUUGGAUUUAAAAGUAA